This 883-nucleotide ribosomal RNA is filed under the name Ganoderma resinaceum. Its description in RNAcentral is "partial large subunit ribosomal RNA". It matches the Rfam family "Eukaryotic large subunit ribosomal RNA", at positions 71 to 941 of the family's 3401-position model. Lineage: Eukaryota; Fungi; Basidiomycota; Agaricomycetes; Polyporales; Polyporaceae. The record is from RNAcentral.
AGGAUUCCCCUAGUAACUGCGAGUGAAGCGGGAAAAGCUCAAAUUUAAAAUCUGGCGGUCUUUGGCCGUCCGAGUUGUAGUCUGGAGAAGUGCUUUCCGCGCUGGACCGUGUAUAAGUCUCUUGGAACAGAGCGUCAUAGAGGGUGAGAAUCCCGUCUUUGACACGGACUACCAGUGCUUUGUGAUGCGCUCUCAAAGAGUCGAGUUGUUUGGGAAUGCAGCUCAAAAUGGGUGGUGAAUUCCAUCUAAAGCUAAAUAUUGGCGAGAGACCGAUAGCGAACAAGUACCGUGAGGGAAAGAUGAAAAGCACUUUGGAAAGAGAGUUAAACAGUACGUGAAAUUGCUGAAAGGGAAACGCUUGAAGUCAGUCGCGUUGUCCGGAACUCAGCCUUGCUUUCGCUUGGUGCACUUUCCGGAUGACGGGUCAGCAUCGAUUUUGACCGUCGGAAAAGGGCUGGAGUAAUGUGGCACCUCCGGGUGUGUUAUAGACUCUGGUCGCAUACGACGGUUGGGAUCGAGGAACGCAGCGCGCCGCAAGGCAGGGGUUCGCCCACUUUCGCGCUUAGGAUGCUGGCAUAAUGGCUUUAAACGACCCGUCUUGAAACACGGACCAAGGAGUCUAACAUACCUGCGAGUGUUUGGGUGGAAAACCCGAGCGCGUAAUGAAAGUGAAAGUUGAGAUCCCUGUCGUGGGGAGCAUCGACGCCCGGACCUGACGUUCUCUGACGGAUCCGCGGUAGAGCAUGUAUGUUGGGACCCGAAAGAUGGUGAACUAUGCCUGAAUAGGGUGAAGCCAGAGGAAACUCUGGUGGAGGCUCGUAGCGAUUCUGACGUGCAAAUCGAUCGUCAAAUUUGGGUAUAGGGGCGAAAGACUAAUCGAACC